GGUUAAGCGACUAAGCGUACACGGUGGAUGCCCUGGCAGUCAGAGGCGAUGAAGGACGUGCUAAUCUGCGAUAAGCGUCGGUGAGGUGAUAUGAACCGUUAUAACCGGCGAUUUCCGAAUGGGGAAACCCAGUGUGUUUCGACACACUAUCAUUAACUGAAUCCAUAGGUUAAUGAGGCGAACCGGGGGGAACUGAAACAUCUAAGUACCCCGAGGAAAAGAAAUCAACCGAGAUUCCCCCAGUAGCGGCGAGCGAACGGGGAGGAGCCCAGAGCCUGAAUCAGUGUGUGUGUUAGUGGAAGCGUCUGGAAAGGCGUGCGAUACAGGGUGACAGCCCCGUACACAAAAAUGCACAUAUUGUGAGCUCGAUGAGUAGGGCGGGACACGUGGUAUCCUGUCUGAAUAUGGGGGACCAUCCUCCAAGGCUAAAUACUCCUGACUGACCGAUAGUGAACCAGUACCGUGAGGGAAAGGCGAAAAGAACCCCGGCGAGGGGAGUGAAAAAGAACCUGAAACCGUGUACGUACAAGCAGUGGGAGCCUCUUAAUGGGGUGACUGCGUACCUUUUGUAUAAUGGGUCAGCGACUUAUAUUCUGUAGCAAGGUUAACCGAAUAGGGGAGCCGAAGGGAAACCGAGUCUUAACUGGGCGUUAAGUUGCAGGGUAUAGACCCGAAACCCGGUGAUCUAGCCAUGGGCAGGUUGAAGGUUGGGUAACACUAACUGGAGGACCGAACCGACUAAUGUUGAAAAAUUAGCGGAUGACUUGUGGCUGGGGGUGAAAGGCCAAUCAAACCGGGAGAUAGCUGGUUCUCCCCGAAAGCUAUUUAGGUAGCGCCUCGUGAAUUCAUCUCCGGGGUAGAGCACUGUUUCGGCAAGGGGUCAUCCCGACUUACCAACCCGAUGCAAACUGCGAAUACCGGAGAAUGUUAUCACGGGAGACACACGGCGGGUGCUAACGUCCGUCGUGAAGAGGGAAACAACCCAGACCGCCAGCUAAGGUCCCAAAGUCAUGGUUAAGUGGGAAACGAUGUGGGAAGGCCCAGACAGCCAGGAUGUUGGCUUAGAAGCAGCCAUCAUUUAAAGAAAGCGUAAUAGCUCACUGGUCGAGUCGGCCUGCGCGGAAGAUGUAACGGGGCUAAACCAUGCACCGAAGCUGCGGCAGCGACACUAUGUGUUGUUGGGUAGGGGAGCGUUCUGUAAGCCUGUGAAGGUGGCCUGUGAGGGUUGCUGGAGGUAUCAGAAGUGCGAAUGCUGACAUAAGUAACGAUAAAGCGGGUGAAAAGCCCGCUCGCCGGAAGACCAAGGGUUCCUGUCCAACGUUAAUCGGGGCAGGGUGAGUCGACCCCUAAGGCGAGGCCGAAAGGCGUAGUCGAUGGGAAACAGGUUAAUAUUCCUGUACUUGGUGUUACUGCGAAGGGGGACGGAGAAGGCUAUGUUGGCCGGGCGACGGUUGUCCCGGUUUAAGCGUGUAGGCUGGUUUUCCAGGCAAAUCCGGAAAACCAAGGCUGAGGCGUGAUGACGAGGCACUACGGUGCUGAAGCGACAAAUGCCCUGCUUCCAGGAAAAGCCUCUAAGCAUCAGGUAACAUCAAAUCGUACCCAAAACCGACACAGGUGGUCAGGUAGAGAAUACCAAGGCGCUUGAGAGAACUCGGGUGAAGGAACUAGGCAAAAUGGUGCCGUAACUUCGGGAGAAGGCACGCUGAUAUGUAGGUGAAGCGACUUGCUCGUGGAGCUGAAAUCAGUCGAAGAUACCAGCUGGCUGCAACUGUUUAUUAAAAACACAGCACUGUGCAAACACGAAAGUGGACGUAUACGGUGUGACGCCUGCCCGGUGCCGGAAGGUUAAUUGAUGGGGUUAGCGGUAACGCGAAGCUCUUGAUCGAAGCCCCGGUAAACGGCGGCCGUAACUAUAACGGUCCUAAGGUAGCGAAAUUCCUUGUCGGGUAAGUUCCGACCUGCACGAAUGGCGUAAUGAUGGCCAGGCUGUCUCCACCCGAGACUCAGUGAAAUUGAACUCGCUGUGAAGAUGCAGUGUACCCGCGGCAAGACGGAAAGACCCCGUGAACCUUUACUAUAGCUUGACACUGAACAUUGAGCCUUGAUGUGUAGGAUAGGUGGGAGGCUUUGAAGUGUGGACGCCAGUCUGCAUGGAGCCGACCUUGAAAUACCACCCUUUAAUGUUUGAUGUUCUAACGUUGGCCCGUAAUCCGGGUUGCGGACAGUGUCUGGUGGGUAGUUUGACUGGGGCGGUCUCCUCCUAAAGAGUAACGGAGGAGCACGAAGGUUGGCUAAUCCUGGUCGGACAUCAGGAGGUUAGUGCAAUGGCAUAAGCCAGCUUGACUGCGAGCGUGACGGCGCGAGCAGGUGCGAAAGCAGGUCAUAGUGAUCCGGUGGUUCUGAAUGGAAGGGCCAUCGCUCAACGGAUAAAAGGUACUCCGGGGAUAACAGGCUGAUACCGCCCAAGAGUUCAUAUCGACGGCGGUGUUUGGCACCUCGAUGUCGGCUCAUCACAUCCUGGGGCUGAAGUAGGUCCCAAGGGUAUGGCUGUUCGCCAUUUAAAGUGGUACGCGAGCUGGGUUUAGAACGUCGUGAGACAGUUCGGUCCCUAUCUGCCGUGGGCGCUGGAGAACUGAGGGGGCUGCUCCUAGUACGAGAGGACCGGAGUGGACGCAUCACUGGUGUUCGGGGUUGUCAUGCCAAUGGCACUGCCCGGUAGCUAAAUGCGGAAGAGAUAAGUGCUGAAAGCAUCUAAGCACGAAACUUGCCCCGAGAUGAGUUCUCCCUGACUCCUUGAGGGUCCUGAAGGAACGUUGAAGACGACGACGUUGAUAGGCCGGGUGUGUAAGCGCAGCGAUGCGUUGAGCUAACCGGUACUAAUGAACCGUGAGGCUUAACCUU
This 2901-nucleotide ribosomal RNA is filed under the name Escherichia coli. RNAcentral's name for it is "23S ribosomal RNA". It matches the Rfam family "Bacterial large subunit ribosomal RNA". Lineage: Bacteria; Pseudomonadati; Pseudomonadota; Gammaproteobacteria; Enterobacterales; Enterobacteriaceae. The record is from RNAcentral.